RNAcentral lists this unclassified non-coding RNA (162 nucleotides) under soil metagenome. RNAcentral's name for it is "partial internal transcribed spacer 1". The record is from RNAcentral.
AAGAGACGUUGCCCUUCGGGGUAUACCUCCCACCCUUUGUUUAUUAUACCUUUGUUGCUUUGGCGGGCCCGUCCUCGGACCACCGGCUUCUGCUGGUCAGUGCCCGCCAGAGGACCUAAAACUCUGUUUGUUAAUAUUGUCUGAGUACUAUAUAAUAAGUUA